Molecule: long non-coding RNA, 1076 nt
Organism: Pecten maximus
Lineage: Eukaryota; Metazoa; Mollusca; Bivalvia; Pectinida; Pectinidae
Exons: 3
Source: RefSeq, a predicted model, not a curated record
UACACAAUUGGGUGGACUGGUUAGAGGUAACUUACAACGUAUCACCCUACAGCUGAAAAGAUGAUGCACUUGUUGAUAUUCGCGUAUCUGCUCGUGACCACAUACAGUGAAGACACUCCGGCACAUCCAGCUAACGCCAAGGUACUCCCAGGAGAUGUGAAACAACAUCAUAUUGUCAUUACAACAAUGUGUCGUCCUCAAGAGGUAGAUAACGAGGACAUUCAAGCACAUCCAGCUAACGCUCAGGUACUCCCGGGAGAUGAGAAACAAUAUCAUAUUGUCAUUACAGGACUGUGUCGUCCUCAGGAGACAGAAAACGUGGAAAUUCAGGACGAAACCACCGUCACAACGCUACAGAGAAGAAAACAGCUACUCUCGAUGGUUGGUGUUUUGGUUUUAGUGGUUGUGAUACUGUGGGGAGCAAUCAUAUCGUGUCUUGUCUUAUGUAAGAAGAUAGCGAUGUUGAGGUUCCCGGCGGGAUUGCUUUAAAGUCUCAUCGUAUGUAUGAUCGAGUAGACUAAAAACACCAAAUCGGAAUGAUGGAAUUGGUUGUAACAGAGGCGUCAACACGAGGAAACACAUAGCGAAACCAGCCAUAAAGUCCAAUGAAGACUCGGCCUUAUCAAACCAUACGUGAUGUGACUAGUUUUUGUGUCAGACAUCCGUGUGACUCACUGUCUUCAAUAUUGGUAUUAACAGCUACUCCUGAUAUGCCACCUGUUACUUCCGAACUUUCAGUAAUGUUAGAGUCCAUUUCUGCUCCACCUGUGAGUAUACCAGUGAUAUCCACGAUCAUUAUCGACAAGGAGUCCUGUCUGAGUUUAGUCUGUGUAGCUCGGUUAUAGACGAGGACAAUGACACUUUGGUUCUAACCUUAUUAGACGUGUCUGUGGGCGUCCUAUUUCACGAUGACAUUGCCCACAAACGGUUCCAUAUCAGCGAAUAUUUGUCUUUUUCUAUGUGCGUGAUUAUCUUCUCAUGGGGAAAUGAAGUUUUAUGAUGAGCACGAUUGUGUAAAACGCAGGACAGUGUCUUGUAUUAUUUCAUUUGGCGGUCAUUACAUCAUACACAUCCAG